RNAcentral lists this transfer RNA (72 nucleotides) under Treponema sp. RNAcentral describes it as "tRNA-Val". It matches the Rfam family "tRNA". From Rfam's summary of the family: Transfer RNA (tRNA) molecules are approximately 80 nucleotides in length. Their secondary structure includes four short double-helical elements and three loops (D, anti-codon, and T loops). Further hydrogen bonds mediate the characteristic L-shaped molecular structure. tRNAs have two regions of fundamental functional importance: the anti-codon, which is responsible for specific mRNA codon recognition, and the 3' end, to which the tRNAs corresponding amino acid is attached (by aminoacyl-tRNA synthetases). tRNAs cope with the degeneracy of the genetic code in two manners: having more than one tRNA (with a specific anti-codon) for a particular amino acid; and 'wobble' base-pairing, i.e. permitting non-standard base-pairing at the 3rd anti-codon position. The record is from RNAcentral. Lineage: Bacteria; Pseudomonadati; Spirochaetota; Spirochaetia; Treponematales; Treponemataceae.
GGUCAAUUAACUCAGUGGUAGAGUGUCGCCUUCACACGGCGGAAGUCACUGGUUCGAGCCCAGUAUUGACCA